CUGGCGGCGCGCUUACACAUGCAAGUCGAGCGAGAAAGUGGAGCAAUCCAUGAGUACAGCGGCGUACGGGUGAGUAACACGUGGGUAAUCUACCUCUUAGUGGGGAAUAACCCUGGGAAACCGGGGCUAAUACCGCAUAAGCCUGCAAAGGGAAAGCAGCAAUGCGCUAACAGAGGAGCCCGCGGCCGAUUAGCUAGUUGGUGGGGUAAUGGCCUACCAAGGCGACGAUCGGUAGCCGGCCUGAGAGGGCACACGGCCACACUGGCACUGAAACACGGGCCAGACUCCUACGGGAGGCAGCAGUGGGGAAUCUUGCACAAUGGAGGAAACUCUGAUGCAGCGACGCCGCGUGAGCGAUGAAGCCCUUCGGGGUGUAAAGCUCUUUCGGCAGGGACGAUAAUGACGGUACCUGAAGAAGAAGCUGCGGCUAACUACGUGCCAGCAGCCGCGGUAAUACGUAGGCAGCGAGCGUUGUUCGGAAUUACUGGGCGUAAAGAGUGUGUAGGCGGUGCUCUAAGUUCGGUGUGAAAUCUCCCGGCUCAACUGGGAGGGUGCGCCGGAAACUGGAGUG
Molecule: ribosomal RNA, 571 nt
Filed under: uncultured bacterium
Lineage: Bacteria
Description: bacterial SSU rRNA
Rfam family: Bacterial small subunit ribosomal RNA
Source: RNAcentral